CAGCCGCCGCGGUAAUACGGAGGGUGCAAGCGUUAAUCGGAAUUACUGGGCGUAAAGCGUGCGUAGGCGGCUAAUUGAGUCGGAUGUGAAAUCCCCGAGCUUAACUUGGGAAUUGCAUUCGAUACUGGUUAGCUAGAGUGUGGGAGAGGAUGGUAGAAUUCCAGGUGUAGCGGUGAAAUGCGUAGAGAUCUGGAGGAAUACCGAUGGCGAAGGCAGCCAUCUGGCCUAACACUGACGCUGAGGUACGAAAGCAUGGGGAGCAAACAGGAUUAGAUACCCCAGUAGUCCCUGUCUCUUAUAC
This 301-nucleotide ribosomal RNA is filed under the name uncultured bacterium. RNAcentral's name for it is "partial 16S ribosomal RNA". It matches the Rfam family "Bacterial small subunit ribosomal RNA", at positions 509 to 807 of the family's 1533-position model. The record is from RNAcentral.